RNAcentral lists this ribosomal RNA (255 nucleotides) under uncultured bacterium. RNAcentral describes it as "partial 16S ribosomal RNA". It matches the Rfam family "Bacterial small subunit ribosomal RNA", at positions 524 to 777 of the family's 1533-position model. The record is from RNAcentral.
UACAGGGGGUGCAAACGUUGCUCGGAAUCAUUGGGCGUAAAGCGCACGUAGGCGGUCUGUUAUGUCGGAUGUGAAAGCCCUUGGCUCAACUGAGGAAGUGCAUCCGAAACUGGCAGGCUAGAGUACUAAAGAGGGUCGCGGAAUUCCCGGUGUAGAGGUGAAAUUCGUAGAUAUCGGGAGGAACACCGGUGGCGAAGGCGGCGACCUGGGUAGAUACUGACGCUGAGGUGCGAAAAGCGUGGGGAGCAAACAGGG